CACUCGCCGCGCUGCACCCCGAUAUUCUCCACGUCCAGGAGAAACUGGACGAACGCCGCCCGCGAGGAGCCUCCUUCCCCCAGCGCCGCCUUCGCCUCCUCCCUGCGAGCCGUCAAUCGCUUCCUGAGCUGCGCGCCGUCCUCGGCCUCGAUCGCCAGCCUCACCUUGGCCUCCAGCUCGUCCGCCGUGACGAAGCCCUCCGCGUACCCCGCCAGCUCCACCGCCACUCCCAUGUCCUCCGCCGUCAUGCACACCUUGUUCAUCUUCUGCUCCGCCUCCAGCGGCCAGCAGAGCAUCGGCACUCCCGCCGCGAUGGCCUCCAGCACCGAGUUCCACCCGCAGUGCGUCACGAACGCGCCGGUCGCCGGGUGGCAGAGAACGUCCACCUGCGGGGUCCAUGACCUGACCACGAGCCCCCUGUCCUUGGUCUGCUCCUGGAAACCCGCCGGUAGGAGCGCGUCGAGGUUCGCCUCGGGGCGAACCUCCAGGAUUUUUCUCGGGUCAUCACACCCGGCCGGCGUGCGCACGACCCACAGGAACCGCUGCCCGGACCUCUCCAAGCCGACCGCGAUCUCCUUGAGCUGGUCUGCGGAGAGCGUGCCCUUGCUCCCGAAGCAGAGGAACACGACGCUGCGAUCCGGCUGCGCGUCUAGCCACGCGAGGCACUCGUUCCUCACUGCUGCUUCGCCGUCGUCGUCCUUCGCACCGUUGCCGACCAACGGCCCGACGCAGUAG
This 735-nucleotide ribosomal RNA is filed under the name Triticum aestivum (bread wheat). Its description in RNAcentral is "partial small subunit ribosomal RNA". The record is from RNAcentral. Lineage: Eukaryota; Viridiplantae; Streptophyta; Magnoliopsida; Poales; Poaceae.